GUCACGUGUUGAUUGUGUAAAUGAAGCCUCUAAGAAAAGUGCUAGGAAGCAAAGAAGAAUAGAAGAGUGCCAGCUGAAACACAUUUUCAGGGGGCCACACAAGAAAAGACUACAGCAGAAGUCCAUUCGAAACCUCCCAGUGGGGUAGGAGUGUACAACUCACCACAGCAUGUCCGAGCCAUCCAUCCACCAACAACCGUUGGGCAACGCUUAGCAGUUCUCAACAUCUAUAAAGUUCCCUCUGUCGUCACGGUGUGUGACCUUGGAGAUGCCGCAGGUGAAGGGA
Molecule: long non-coding RNA, 286 nt
Filed under: Dromaius novaehollandiae (emu)
Lineage: Eukaryota; Metazoa; Chordata; Aves; Casuariiformes; Dromaiidae
Description: lncRNA (ENSDNVG00000004686.1)
Source: RNAcentral